Molecule: transfer RNA, 67 nt
Filed under: Aposthonia borneensis
Lineage: Eukaryota; Metazoa; Arthropoda; Insecta; Embioptera; Oligotomidae
Description: tRNA-Pro
Source: RNAcentral
CAAAACAUAGUUUAAGUUAAAAUUUUAGCUUUGGAUGCUAAUUGAUAUUAAAAAUUAUUUGUUUUGA